CCCGCUGAACUUAAGCAUAUCAAUAAGCGGAGGAAAAGAAACCAACAGGGAUUGCCUCAGUAACGGCGAGUGAAGCGGCAACAGCUCAAAUUUGAAAUCUGGCCCUUCUGGGGUCCGAGUUGUAAUUUGUAGAAGAUGCUUCGGGUGUGGCUCCGGUCUAAGUUCCUUGGAACAGGACGUCAUAGAGGGUGAGAAUCCCGUAUGUGACUGGCAGCCUUCGCCCAUGUGAAGCUCUUUCGACGAGUCGAGUUGUUUGGGAAUGCAGCUCAAAAUGGGUGGUAAAUUCCAUCUAAAGCUAAAUACAGGCGAGAGACCGAUAGCGAACAAGUACCGUGAGGGAAAGAUGAAAAGAACUUUGGAAAGAGAGUUAAACAGUAUGUGAAAUUGCUGAAAGGGAAACGCUUGAUGUCAGUCACGUUGGCUAGGGAUCAACCUUGCUUCUCGCUGGGUGUAUUUCCUAGUGGACGGGUCAGCAUCAGUUUCGGUCGCUGUACAAGGGCAAAGGGAACGUGGCACUCCUUGGAGUGUGUUAUAGCCUUUCGUCGUAUGCAGUGGUUGGGACUGAGGAACUCGGCACGAAAUCUAUUUUGUGCUUAGGAUGCUGGCAUAAUGGCCUUAAGCGACCCGUCUUGAAACACGG
This 640-nucleotide ribosomal RNA is filed under the name uncultured fungus. Its description in RNAcentral is "eukaryotic LSU rRNA". It matches the Rfam family "Eukaryotic large subunit ribosomal RNA", at positions 24 to 664 of the family's 3401-position model. The record is from RNAcentral. Lineage: Eukaryota; Fungi.